Molecule: ribosomal RNA, 450 nt
Filed under: uncultured bacterium
Lineage: Bacteria
Description: partial 16S ribosomal RNA
Rfam family: Bacterial small subunit ribosomal RNA
Source: RNAcentral
GUGGGGAAUUUUGGACAAUGGGGGCAACCCUGAUCCAGCCAUGCCGCGUGCGGGAAGAAGGCCUUCGGGUUGUAAACCGCUUUUGUCAGGGAAGAAAUCCUUUGGGUUAGUACCUCGGAGGGAUGACGGUACCUGAAGAAUAAGCACCGGCUAACUACGUGCCAGCAGCCGCGGUAAUACGUAGGGUGCGAGCGUUAAUCGGAAUUACUGGGCGUAAAGCGUGCGCAGGCGGUUUUGUAAGAUCGAUGUGAAAUCCCCGGGCUCAACCUGGGAACUGCAUUGGUGACUGCAAGGCUGGAGUGCGGCAGAGGGGGGUGGAAUUCCGCGUGUAGCAGUGAAAUGCGUAGAUAUGCGGAGGAACACCGAUGGCGAAGGCAAUCCCCUGGGCCUGCACUGACGCUCAUGCACGAAAGCGUGGGGAGCAAACAGGAUUAGAUACCCCGGUAGUCC